This 449-nucleotide ribosomal RNA is filed under the name uncultured bacterium. RNAcentral's name for it is "bacterial SSU rRNA". It matches the Rfam family "Bacterial small subunit ribosomal RNA", at positions 53 to 518 of the family's 1533-position model. The record is from RNAcentral.
ACAUGCAAGUCGAGCGACGGAGAUGGAAGCUGGAGACAGUGGAAGGUCUUACGGAGCGGCGGACUGGUGGGUAAUACAUGAGAAGCGGUCCAUCAGAGGGGGACAACGUUUAGAAAUGAACGCUAAUACCCCAUAGUCCGAAAGGUUAAAGCAGCAAUGUGCUGGUGGAGGUGCUCGUGUCCUAUCAAUUUGUUGGCGGGGUAACGGCCCACCCAAGAUGACGACGGGUAGCCGGCCUGAGAGGGUGUACGGCCACACUGGGACUGAGAUACGGCCCAGACUCCUACGGGAGGCAGCAGUGGGGAAUAUUGGGCAAUGGGAGAAAUCCUUGACCCAGCGACGCCGCGUGAACGAUGAAGGCCUUCGGGUCGUAAAGUUCUUUUAUGUGAGAAGAAAACAAUGACGGUAUCACAUGAAUAAGCCCCGGCUAACUACGUGCCAGCCGCGGC